CCGCGGCGCGCGCCCACAGCCGCAGUCCCUCCGCCUCGAGCCCGCCCGAAGGAGGGGCCGCUACCAGCCAAACGAGGGGGCAGGGAAGGAUUGGAGGGACGCACAGGUGGGGCCUCCGCUGCAGCCGGGCCACCGGCUCCCCGCGCCCGGCCCUCCGCGGUGAAAUCCGCUGCGGUGGCCGCCUCUUUCAGCGCCCGGCACCUUACCUUUAAGGCCAGAGAACGAAGAAACCGAGAAAACCCUCGGCUCCCGGAUACUAUAUCCAGCCCGCGCUAGAGGUGUUUUUCGAAGUCACUGAGCACAAGUGAGGAGGUUCCACGUGUGAACAGCCACCCCACUGCCGUAGGAUCAUAAAUUGUAGAGAUCAAUACUCUCUCGCAUUAAGAUUCAGGAGGUGUUAGAAGUAGGCCUUUGUGUGAUGCCCUUGGCUUAAUGAGCAGAUGACAGGGACUUUGGCAUCCCUUGGGUCUCAGAUUGAUGAGUUUCAGGUGAGCAGUAUUUUCACGUUGAAUCCAAGAACAAGAUUCUAGAAUAUUAAAUAUUUCCUGUGAAUAAAAAAGGAAUGGAUUUCGUUAAACAGCGGAAGGGUGUUGUUUCGGAGGGUGCACUGUACCGGGUGGCCUAUUUAGAAUUAGCACCAUUUGAUGCAGUCUGACUAUAAAUGGAAGGUGAUCCACCUUUGUAUAUGCUAUCAUUAGACCAUUUAGAAAUGGAUGGUUUAUUGGAUGAUCUGCCUCUCUCUCUCCAGGCAAUGUAUGGUAAAAUAUGAAAGGAAUACUGUGAACCAGCGUUGCCCAUAAAACAGGAAAGCGACAAAAUCCUUCCCAUUUACUUUCUUUCCUCUGUAAUUACCCCUAAACAGAACAGAUUAAUCGUGUAUAUUGUAGGAUGCUAAUUAUUUCCUCCACUGACUGCCCUUCACUCUAGUUAGGGAAGCUAGAAUGCCCUUCAACCCUUGUCUUUUAAAUAGAGUUACUUCUUUAAAGCACCUCCCCUCCCUUCUCCACACCCAAAGUUGUUAAAGAGCAAACAAAAAAAGGAUAGGUAAAGUUCAUGUUCUUUUCAUUUUUAUUUCAUUUACUUUCAAAGAAAGUCCUAAAAAAAAAAAUCAUGAUGAAAUCACUAGGAGAAGCAGAGAAACCAAACUGUCAAAUGAGAAUAGACCAAGGAAAAGUAGAGCAGAUUAAUGGUGAAAAGGGGAGAAUGUGAGAUGUAUAAAGAAAGUUUUUCCACAGAUGUUAAUUGCUUCAAGUUCCAAAAAAUAACAGGCAAACAGAACUAGCACUUGGAGGAAAAAUCCUUCUAGUUGGGUAAAUCUUUAAUCUUCUUAAAUUGUUAGUAAGAGAGUAAGGAAAAGAUUAAGUGCCCACAGUAAUAAUUCAACAAUAUAGAUCUGCAUAUAUAAAUCCCAUUAUCACUGCUUUUGAAAAAUAGAAAGACUGAGGAACAACAGGGAAUUUUAGUUUAUGUAAUUGUAAUAACUUUAAAUUUUGAUUAGGGUUUCUCCUUGCUCAACAUAGUGUGACUCAUAAAAGAGAAAAUUCUGAUAGUAGCCUUUGCAAUGGAACCAACAGCCAGAAGUUGAACUUCAUACAUCCAGUAUCCACAUGGGGAGAUAACUUCAAGUACCAGGUGAGGCAGACCGGCACUCUCUCUCCUGUUUCCUGGAGGGACUGAUGAGUGAUAUGAACCCAGUGGGGAUCCUCAUUUCCUACCUGCUGGUGGUUUCAGUGUGGACAUUACCCAGCUCCUGCAGAAAAGAUCUGAGCUAGAAUCUGCUGUAAUUCCCCAAAGUUUUCGAUUUUCCAUGGACAGUAUUGACUCUGCAUGAGUUAGCUGAAACGGAUUUCUCCAGCCUCGGAAUCACCCAACCUCAGAACUGCCUGCACCACACUAUCCAACUUGUGCAAUGACAAAGGCUUAUUGUAAAAGCCUUUACUCUGUACUGUUCACCCGGUGGGGUUGAUUGAGAAAAAGAAAUGCGCUUUCAGGAAACAGGACUCAGAGCUCAUUUCUUCCCUUCUCACCUACAAAGGUUUUGAUUGCUUUCCAUAGUUAGGAAUAAAACUAGGAGAGUUUCAUAAAAACAAAUGAGCCUGUCUUCCUAUAUCUACCAAUAAUCUUUUAAAAUUUACUGUAAGAGCAGUGAAGUUUUCAUCUGGACUUGAGAAGAAGUCCUGUGACUCAUGAAGCUAGGCCAUGGAGAUACUAAAUUCUAACAUACUGAAUUUCUGCGUUUGGCAUAAUUACUCAAAAUCUGUUUAUCAUGUUGAUAACCUGUAAAAUAGUAAUUUUAUUAACCUUUAGAGUUGUGUUAAGUUCAAAUUUCCAAAAGUCCAAAUUUCGUUAAGAUUGAGAAUUUGUGUAUAAAAAUACAGAAAAAAGUUCA
Molecule: long non-coding RNA, 2389 nt
Organism: Bubalus bubalis (water buffalo)
Lineage: Eukaryota; Metazoa; Chordata; Mammalia; Artiodactyla; Bovidae
Exons: 2
Source: RefSeq, a predicted model, not a curated record